Long non-coding RNA from Cygnus olor (mute swan), 628 nucleotides. RefSeq lists it as uncharacterized. The record is from RefSeq and is a predicted model, not a curated record. Lineage: Eukaryota; Metazoa; Chordata; Aves; Anseriformes; Anatidae. The transcript is spliced from 3 exons.
CCCGGUAAUGCUCCUUUCUCUCGGGCGGCGCAGCCCGGCGGCGGGGAAGCAGGCCGGCGGAUAAUUACCCCUCGCUGCAAUCCGCAGAGCUGGCCUAAUCCGAAAGCUCAAGUGCCCGAUGAAGGCUGCAGCGAGGCACUGGCACGAGUUAGGACAACUGAGCUGCAGAGUGCACGAUGGAGGAACAGGGAAGAGAGCCGGGCUCCACUGCCGCCUUCUUGGCAGCGCAGUGGGUGACAAGAAUGCUCUCUGAUUUCCCCUCACGUCUCCCAGCAGCCAGAGAAAGGUCUGAUCAGAUGGUCUUCUACCACAACAGAGCGUUGCCGGACACCCAGCAAAGAAACGAUAAAGGUUUUAAACUUCCCCCCUCGCUCAACUUCUCCAGGCAGCGAGCAGAGAGGGCUUCGAGCCUGGAAACGCGGACGGGGUUUGGGGGAGACGGAGCUGAUGGGCACGGCCGCGUCUCCUGCAGGAGAGCCCCGCAGCAUGGGAAAUUAGCAGUCCAAAUCUGCUAGUGGGGACUGGGUCCCACAAAGCCCACGCGUUGGGAAGGCUGAGUGUCUCUCUCGCGCCUAUUCAAUCUGCCCAGGCUGGUUGCAGCGAAUAAAUAGAGUCAUUGUGGAGCCCA